GAAUGUGACCCCAGGAUGGGCGAGGCCACCCGCUGAGUUUAAGCAUAUCAAUAAGCGGAGGAAA
Molecule: ribosomal RNA, 64 nt
Filed under: Dendrobium huoshanense
Lineage: Eukaryota; Viridiplantae; Streptophyta; Magnoliopsida; Asparagales; Orchidaceae
Description: partial 26S ribosomal RNA
Source: RNAcentral